This is a long non-coding RNA of Candoia aspera, 422 nucleotides long. RefSeq lists it as uncharacterized. The transcript is spliced from 3 exons. Lineage: Eukaryota; Metazoa; Chordata; Lepidosauria; Squamata; Candoiidae. The record is from RefSeq and is a predicted model, not a curated record.
AGAUUUAUCCAACAAAAUGAAGAUUCUAAUUGUCCUUGCCUGCCUUUUGGCCAUCACUGCUCCUUAUGAGGCUAGCAGAAGUGAAAGUGGAAGCAGGGAAGGAUGGCGAUACCCAUCUUACCCACCAUAUCCACACUACCCAUCUCUGGGCUAUCCGCUUCCAAGCCCAACUUCAUAUUUUCCCUUUAUGUAUCCUCCUAUGUAUCCACCGUGGUUUUUUAACCAUUUAGGUAAGCCUGUAGCAACUGCUGGCCCACCUACUGUGCCUAGGACUGUGCGUGGAUAAAACCUGAUCUGUUGACUGGUAAGUCUGAGAUGAUUUUUAGAAGAUAACUAGAAGACACCCUUUUGCUUCUGGUACAGCACAAUGAAUGACCCUGAUUUAGAUUGACUUUUCCAAGCUUUGCAAUAUUUUCCUUUAA